UGCAACCGGAAUGCGAAUAUUGCGAUGUG
RNAcentral lists this small RNA (29 nucleotides) under Bombyx mori (domestic silkworm). RNAcentral describes it as "ovarian small RNA-33319". The record is from RNAcentral. Lineage: Eukaryota; Metazoa; Arthropoda; Insecta; Lepidoptera; Bombycidae.